This is a long non-coding RNA of Vigna radiata var. radiata (mung bean), 515 nucleotides long. RefSeq lists it as uncharacterized. NCBI's taxonomy places the organism in Eukaryota, Viridiplantae, Streptophyta, Magnoliopsida, Fabales, Fabaceae. The transcript has 2 exons. The record is from RefSeq and is a predicted model, not a curated record.
CAUGGUUUUUCAUGUUAGUAAGGUCAUUGAGGGAGUAGUAUCUUAGUCAAAAUAGGUGAUUGUAUUAGAGGAUGUGAUGAGUGUAGGUUGUUCCUUCUCUCUGGUAAGUUUAAUUUUCGGGGACGAAAAUUUUAUUUGUUGGGGAGAAUGUAAAAGCCAAAACUAAAAAGGGGCUAUUGGACCUAAGUUGGGGGACAACCAGGCCCAUAAGGUUGAGGAUACCCUGACCUUGGUAAGGGCUUUCCAAAAAAAUCUGAUUUCAUAAGCCAAAUUUCCUCUCUCUCUCAAACCCUAUUCCCCAAAUAUUGCUCUGUCUUCUCUCUAAAUUUCUCAUUCACUGAACCGAUCAAAUUUUAAUUUGAAAGUGUUUCCUUUCUCACUGCACCGAGGGCUUCAAUUUGAACCGGGCGUUCUUCCAUUCCGACCGGUACUGUUGUUUUUCUGUUCGGGUGAGAAUUUCUAUUAGGACGUCUUCAAAUUAGCUUACCGUGAAAACCCAAGGUAAGGGGAGCUAG